AACGUAGGUGGCGAGCGUUAUCCGGAUUCAUUGGGCGUAAAGAGCUUGUAGGUGGCGGCGUAAGUUGGACGUGAAAUCGCCCGGCUCAACCGGGCGGGGUCGUUCAAUACUGCGCGGCUGGAGGAGGUCAGAGGGAAGUGGAAUUCCUGGUGUAGCAGUGAAAUGCGUAGAUAUCAGGAGGAACACCCGUGGCGAAGGCGGCUUCCUGGGGCCAUCCUGACACUGAGACGCGAAAGCGUGGGGAGCGAACAGG
Molecule: ribosomal RNA, 253 nt
Filed under: uncultured bacterium
Lineage: Bacteria
Description: partial 16S ribosomal RNA
Rfam family: Bacterial small subunit ribosomal RNA
Source: RNAcentral